RNAcentral lists this ribosomal RNA (388 nucleotides) under uncultured bacterium. Its description in RNAcentral is "bacterial SSU rRNA". It matches the Rfam family "Bacterial small subunit ribosomal RNA", at positions 30 to 418 of the family's 1533-position model. The record is from RNAcentral.
AUUGAACGCUGGCGGCAUGCCUUACACAUGCAAGUCGAACGGCAGCACGGACUUCGGUCUGGUGGCGAGUGGCGAACGGGUGAGUAAUAUAUCGGAACAUACCCUAGAGUGGGGCAUAACGUAGCGAAAGUUACGCUAAUACCGCAUACGAACUAAGGUUGAAAGCGGGGGAUCUUCGGACCUCGUGCUCAUGGAGUGGCCGAUAUCUGAUUAGCUAGUUGGUGAGGUAAAGGCUCACCAAGGCGACGAUCAGUAGCUGGUUUGAGAGAACGACCAGCCACACUGGAACUGAGACACGGUCCAGACUCCUACGGGAGGCAGCAGUGGGGAAUUUUGGACAAUGGGCGCAAGCCUGAUCCAGCAAUGCCGCGUGAGUGAAGAAGGCCUC